UGAACCUGCGGAUGGAUCAU
RNAcentral lists this ribosomal RNA (20 nucleotides) under Polititapes rhomboides. Its description in RNAcentral is "partial 18S ribosomal RNA". The record is from RNAcentral. Lineage: Eukaryota; Metazoa; Mollusca; Bivalvia; Venerida; Veneridae.